UAGGGAAUCUUCGGCAAUGGGGGCAACCCUGACCGAGCAACGCCGCGUGAGUGAAGAAGGUUUUCGGAUCGUAAAGCUCUGUUGUAAGUCAAGAACGAGUGUGAGAGUGGAAAGUUCACACUGUGACGGUAGCUUACCAGAAAGGGACGGCUAACUACGUGCCAGCAGCCGCGGUAAUACGUAGGUCCCGAGCGUUGUCCGGAUUUAUUGGGCGUAAAGCGAGCGCAGGCGGUUUGAUAAGUCUGAAGUUAAAGGCUGUGGCUCAACCAUAGUUCGCUUUGGAAACUGUCAAACUUGAGUGCAGAAGGGGAGAGUGGAAUUCCAUGUGUAGCGGUGAAAUGCGUAGAUAUAUGGAGGAACACCGGUGGCGAAAGCGGCUCUCUGGUCUGUAACUGACGCUGAGGCUCGAAAGCGUGGGGAGCGAACAGGAUUAGAUACCCUGGUAGUCCACGCCGUAACGAUGAGUGCUAGGUGUUGGGUCCUUUCCGGGAUUCAGUGCCGCAGCUAACGCAUUAAGCACUCCGCCUGGGGAGUACGACCGCAAGGUU
Molecule: ribosomal RNA, 548 nt
Filed under: uncultured bacterium
Lineage: Bacteria
Description: bacterial SSU rRNA
Rfam family: Bacterial small subunit ribosomal RNA
Source: RNAcentral